AUUGAACGCUGGCGGCAGGCCUAACACAUGCAAGUCGAGCGGAUGAGGGUAGCUUGCUACCUGAUUCAGCGGCGGACGGGUGAGUAAUGCCUAGGAAUCUGCCCGAUAGUGGGGGACAUCGUCUCGAAAGGAACGCUAAUACCGCAUACGUCCUACGGGAGAAAGCAGGGGACCUUCGGGCCUUGCGCUAUCGGAUGAGCCUAGGUCGGAUUAGCUAGUUGGUGGGGUAAAGGCUCACCAAGGCGACGAUCCGUAACUGGUCUGAGAGGAUGAUCAGUCACACUGGAACUGAGACACGGUCCAGACUCCUACGGGAGGCAGCAGUGGGGAAUAUUGGACAAUGGGCGAAAGCCUGAUCCAGCCAUGCCGCGUGUGUGAAGAAUGUCUUCGGAUUGUAAAGCACUUUAAGCUGGGAGGAUGGGCAGUAAGUUAAUACCUUGCUGCUUUGACGUUACCAGCAGAUAAGCACCGGCUAACUUCGUGCCAGCAGCCGCGGUAAUACGAAGGGUGCAAGCGUUAAUCGGAAUUACUGGGCGUAAAGCGCGCGUAGGUGGUUCAGCAAGUUGGAUGUGAAAGCCCCGGGCUCAACCUGGGAACUGCAUCCAACACUACUGGGCUACAGUAUGGUACAGGGUGGUGGAAUUUCCUGUGUAGCGGUGCCAUGCGUAUAUAUAGGAAGGAACACCAGUGGCCAAAGCGACCACCUGUACUAAUACUGACACUGAGGUGCGAAAGCGUGCGGACCAAACAGGAUUAGAUACCCUGGUAGUCCACGCCGUAAACGAUGUCAACUAUGUUGUUGGGUUCCUUGACGACUUAUCAACGAAGCUAACCGCGAUAAGUUGACCGCCUGGGGAGUACGGCCGCUAGGUUAAAACUCAAAUGAAUUGACGGGGGCCCGCACAAACGGUGGAGCAUGUGGUUUAAUUCAAAUCAACGCGAACAAGCUUACCUGGCCUUGACAUGCUGAAAAGUUUCCAUACAUGGAUUGAAGCCUUCGGGAACGCAAACGCAAGUGCUGCAUGUCUGUCUUCAUCUCAAUGUCAUGACAUGUUGCGUCACGUCCCGUAACGAGCGCAACCCAUUGUCCUUAGUUACCAGCACGUAAUGGUGGGCACUCUAAGGAGACUGCCGGUGACAAACCGGAGGAAGGUGGGGAUGACGUCAAGUCAUCAUGGCCCUUACGGCCAGGGCUACACACGUGCUACAAUGGACGGUACAAAGGGCUGCAAGACCGCGAGGUUUAGCCAAUCCCAUAAAACCGUUCUCAGUUCGGAUUGUAGGCUGCAACUCGCCUACAUGAAGCUGGAAUCGCUAGUAAUCGCGGAUCAGCAUGCCGCGGUGAAUACGUUCCCGGGCCUUGUACACACCGCCCGUCACACCACGAGAGUGGGUUGCUCCAGAAGUAGCUAGUCUAACCUUCGGGGGGACGGUUACCACGGAGUGAUUCAUGACUGGGGUG
This 1462-nucleotide ribosomal RNA is filed under the name uncultured Pseudomonas sp. RNAcentral's name for it is "bacterial SSU rRNA". It matches the Rfam family "Bacterial small subunit ribosomal RNA". Lineage: Bacteria; Pseudomonadati; Pseudomonadota; Gammaproteobacteria; Pseudomonadales; Pseudomonadaceae. The record is from RNAcentral.